This 502-nucleotide ribosomal RNA is filed under the name Fusarium equiseti. RNAcentral's name for it is "eukaryotic LSU rRNA". The stretch from base 151 to 304 matches the Rfam family "5.8S ribosomal RNA". Lineage: Eukaryota; Fungi; Ascomycota; Sordariomycetes; Hypocreales; Nectriaceae. The record is from RNAcentral.
UACCGAGUUUACAACUCCCAAACCCCUGUGAACAUACCUAUACGUUGCCUCGGCGGAUCAGCCCGCGCCCCGUAAAACGGGACGGCCCGCCCGAGGACCCUAAACUCUGUUUUUAGUGGAACUUCUGAGUAAAACAAACAAAUAAAUCAAAACUUUCAACAACGGAUCUCUUGGUUCUGGCAUCGAUGAAGAACGCAGCAAAAUGCGAUAAGUAAUGUGAAUUGCAGAAUUCAGUGAAUCAUCGAAUCUUUGAACGCACAUUGCGCCCGCCAGUAUUCUGGCGGGCAUGCCUGUUCGAGCGUCAUUUCAACCCUCAAGCUCAGCUUGGUGUUGGGACUCGCGGUAACCCGCGUUCCCCAAAUCGAUUGGCGGUCACGUCGAGCUUCCAUAGCGUAGUAAUAAUACACCUCGUUACUGGUAAUCGUCGCGGCCACGCCGUAAAACCCCAACUUCUGAAUGUUGACCUCGGAUCAGGUAGGAAUACCCGCUGAACUUAAGCAUA